AUUAAAGAGAGUUUGAUCCUGGCUCAGGACGAACGCUGGCGGCGUGCCUAAUACAUGCAAGUAGAACGCUGAGAACUGGUGCUUGCACCGGUUCAAGGAGUUGCGAACGGGUGAGUAACGCGUAGGUAACCUACCUCAUAGCGGGGGAUAACUAUUGGAAACGAUAGCUAAUACCGCAUAAGAGAGACUAACGCAUGUUAGUAAUUUAAAAGGGGCAAUUGCUCCACUAUGAGAUGGACCUGCGUUGUAUUAGCUAGUUGGUGAGGUAAAGGCUCACCAAGGCGACGAUACAUAGCCGACCUGAGAGGGUGAUCGGCCACACUGGGACUGAGACACGGCCCAGACUCCUACGGGAGGCAGCAGUAGGGAAUCUUCGGCAAUGGGGGCAACCCUGACCGAGCAACGCCGCGUGAGUGAAGAAGGUUUUCGGAUCGUAAAGCUCUGUUGUUAGAGAAGAAUGAUGGUGGGAGUGGAAAAUCCACCAAGUGACGGUAACUAACCAGAAAGGGACGGCUAACUACGUGCCAGCAGCCGCGGUAAUACGUAGGUCCCGAGCGUUGUCCGGAUUUAUUGGGCGUAAAGCGAGCGCAGGCGGUUUUUUAAGUCUGAAGUUAAAGGCAUUGGCUCAACCAAUGUACGCUUUGGAAACUGGAGAACUUGAGUGCAGAAGGGGAGAGUGGAAUUCCAUGUGUAGCGGUGAAAUGCGUAGAUAUAUGGAGGAACACCGGUGGCGAAAGCGGCUCUCUGGUCUGUAACUGACGCUGAGGCUCGAAAGCGUGGGGAGCAAACAGGCAGCGUCAGAUGUGUAUAAGAGACAGGCAUUAGAUAAAUGUCAGGUUGUCAUGUUUACAUCCUCUGCAAUGUCCGAGGGGAAGUCCACUGUAUCUGCAAAUGUUGCCGUAACUUGUGCGCAAGCUGGUAAGAAAGUCUUAUUGAUAGA
RNAcentral lists this ribosomal RNA (940 nucleotides) under Lacticaseibacillus rhamnosus. RNAcentral's name for it is "bacterial SSU rRNA". It matches the Rfam family "Bacterial small subunit ribosomal RNA", at positions 1 to 824 of the family's 1533-position model. Lineage: Bacteria; Bacillati; Bacillota; Bacilli; Lactobacillales; Lactobacillaceae. The record is from RNAcentral.